UGUUAUUAAGACAAUCACAUUGAAAUAUCGUUUAUCAAAGGGUAUAAAAAAUUCGGUGCACAGGUGGGAUAGAUUCGAGAGUGCGAGACGCACAUCUCUUUUAUUCGAUAAUGAUCCUUCCGCAGGUUCACCUACGGAAA
Molecule: unclassified non-coding RNA, 140 nt
Filed under: uncultured fungus
Lineage: Eukaryota; Fungi
Description: sequence contains ITS1
Source: RNAcentral